UGUUCUUUCCAUAGUGGUGUGACAAGUACUUUUCAAUUCAAUUUGUUCAGUGUUAGCUUAGGAAAGCCACAAGAUCCCUUCUAGCUCUAAAACUUUCUUCUUUCUGUUUUUGUAAUAUAAUGUUCUAAUCCAAAGAUAACCUCUAGAAAAUUGAGUCUCAACUCGAAAAUGAAGAUAAUAAGGCUAAAGAUAGUCCCGACAAUGUAAAUCUUUCCUAAAGAGCUCUACAAGGAAGGUUUAUGAAAAUCUUGAGAAUAAAAAUGCAGAAUAAUCAUAUCUUUAUAGAUGGUAUCAAGAUGAAGAAAUUGUAUGAAGAGAAGCAAGAAACCAAAUACUGGGGGAUAUAUUGCACAAGUGUGACUUCAAGAAACCCAAGCCAGUGCAAACAACUCAAAAAAUAACGGAACCAAAGACAGCGAACCUUUCAGGAAAGCUAUGGACAUUUAUCCCCUCUGCUAUCAUUUAUGUUUCUGUAGUCAAGGUUCAGUUAUAUCGCAGUUGAGACAACUCCCUAGAAACAAUGAUCCCUGCUAAAGCUGCUCUAGGAGCACAGGAAUUCCUUUGAUGAGCUCUAAGAGAUUGGUAACAAUACCUCCUGAAGGGCCAUGUUGCUAGGUAACAGCUUGUUUCCUUGGUCACGGUGAAUCCAUGGAAGACCCCCAGAAGAUGCUGCAGAUUCUUGGUGGACAGCUCUGGUAUCCCAUCCAAGGAACAUGAUGAAAAAUGUCUUCAGAAAAAUAGCUUUAUGAAGGGAGUUUUUGCACCCACAAGACAUGUCUGGAAGAUCCUCAGGUCAAAAUACAAGUAGUCGAGAGAUUUGUCCAUCUAAUUCAUCAUACUACUCUGAUCCAAGUGAGACCCACAUUGGAUCAGCUCCAUCAAGGAGAGGAAUAUUUCACCCACGUUUGGAUUCUGGAAUAUCAUCCCUGCUUCCUUCAGAUUCUCGUAAGCACCUCACUUGGCACAAGGUAGAACAACAUGACAUUCAAGGAGGUCAACUGCGUUGCCCAAGAGUAAGAGAAGCUGCAGAAUUUUAAACAUGAGCAAAAACCAUCUCACAUCUUUCAAACAAUUGCCAAAGAUACCUCAGAUACAGCAUUUAUCCUUGGCCGAAAACCACAUUGAGACUCUACCUGGACUCUCCAGUUUACGGUGCACUCCACUGGAAUCCCUUAUUCUCAGGAGGAACCCCUGUGAGUUCCACCAAAAUUACAAGAAGCGGUAAGGUCCCAAACACCGUCAGUCACCUUUUGCACUUCAUUGAAUAUUAUACUUUUAACUAUAUUUUAAAAUAUUGUUCCUCUGUUGCUCAAAUUUACCCAGCAAAUAGUUAUAGAAUCUACUCCACAUUGAACACUUCAUGCUUCUGAUCUCAUCUAAAGACUUUUGAACUGACUUUUCUUUAUCUUUUUAAAAUUUUAUCUUAAUACACUCUUUUUUCUUGGUUAAUUUAUAGUUGCUGUAAGAUUUUUAGGCUCCUUCUGUAAUGACUUUACCUAUACAAAUAUGCUUAAUUUUAGACUUUCAAAUUUCACACACUUUCUCCCACGUGCUUAAUAGAUAUUAUGUCUUUUAAAGAAUUAUACAUAUGUAUGUAUAUUUUAUUAAGUUCUGUGUGACAAUUUUAUAAAUUGUUAAUUCUCUGGUUUUACUUUCACUCUUUGGCCCCCAAGGGCAACAUUAAGUGAAUACAAAGAAUUCAGUUUACUCAGUGGUUGAAAGAGCUCAAAACUCUGCCAAGAAGAAACCAUUUUUAUUACUUUGUCACGACUGGGAACAUUCCUAAUGAUAAUAAUGGAAUCUAAAUCUUGAAGUGUGCACCCAGUAAUAUGCCCACCUAUUUAUCUCCAGCUAAUUCCCAGCACCACUAAUUAGUGUACUUAGGGGAAUUAAAAGGACAAAAAGAAGCAACUGAAUUCUACAACUUGUAUUUGCACCCCUACGACUGCAGGGCAUCUCCCCUCCCAGUUGAAUCUGUCAAACAGUUAGAUUAUCUCCAGGGUCGAUUUCUAUUCUAUGAUUACAAUCGUUUGUUUACUUCCAUUUCAGUAAAAGACAGUUUUCACCAUCUUAUUUUCUCACACUGCUCUUUUCCCAUGAACAGCAACUAUAUUCCAGAAGCCUAUAUGAUGUUAGACUUCACUGCCUGAUGUACAAUGAACACUUGUCGAAAUAGAAAUUCUAAUCUCUGUUGUUACAUAAAUCUCAUUACUACAAUUGUCUCCCCUAUGACUGUAGUCUGGAAGCAAAAUUUCAUGUCUGUGAUAAUAAAUUCUUAAAUUGCUUUCAUAUAACAGUGAAAAGUAGCACAGUUGCUAUAAUAUUGAGCUAAUAUUUAACCAUAAUAAUAUUUGGAGGUUUAAAAUUAUAUUUUCUAUAAUCAGAGGAGGUUAAGCUGGACAUUUCAACAGUCAUUCAUAAGAAAGCACAUUCCUAGUCAUAAAAAUAAUUUAAUAGUAUUGUAUUUCAGUUUUGUUAAUUCAUAUGUGGGGUUUUAUAAAGUAUUUUGUUCCCAGUUCAGCCACUUGCCUCUCUUCAAAGAAUGCCUUACAAUAACAGUAUUAAAAUGAAUUGUCUGGAAUCUGAUAUGCCCUGAGGUCUUACUAUAAUUCUGUCUACAAAAUUCAUGGUGUGGUGUAGAGUUAUGAAGGAAUGAGGAAUGUAACGAGGUUCUUCUGUUUUUCCAGUAUUAACUCUAUUGGAUUAAGUCCAAGGUGUAUAUAGGCUGACUUUCAAGUUACAAAAAGCCAGGUUAUAUUGACUUAGGUAGGGCAGGGUUGUGUUGGAAAGAUGGGGUCAUUUUAAAGUAUGAGGAAAAGGUUUAAGCAUCCACUCAUGCUAAGGAACUGAGCUGAAGUCGGAAGUUCAUUCAAGUAUGAGUUCAGUUACCAAGCCGAAAAUCCAUACCUUGAAGACGGUAACAGCAUUCAUUUUGUCACUGGGUAUCUGUGUUGAGGAUUUGGGCCAGAGCUUCAGGUGACUCUUUUUACACACUAUGCUCAGAAUUAUUUGAAGUAUAAGCUUUUCUUGAUCAUUAUCACCUAGAAUUGUGACUGCUUUCCCCUCCUCCUUUGAUUCAGAUCCUCCAACAAGAAGAUAGCACAAUUCAAAAGAGAAAGGACUUAAUGAUAGAGCUAAUAGUGUACGUCCCAGUAGGUUAGAAGGUGGCCCCAUUCCUGGGACACCUACAGGCAAACUUCUCUAACAUUCUCCAGGAGUCAAACAUGAUAUUAGUUCAUUAUAGCUUGACUUAAAAAAAAAAUCAAUGGCUAGAAAUUCUUGCCAGCUUAGUCUGAAUUUUGAAGGCUGAAGACGUAGAUUUUAAUAUUUGCUUUGUCAUCUAGAGGCUUUACGAUUUUGAAUAAGUUACUUAAAAUGAGGGAUAAAAACCAAUCUGACAGAGUUGUUGUGAGGAUUAAAAGAGAUGCAUAAGAAGUGAUUAAUGUUAAGAAAAUCACGCAGCCAAUGGGAGCUUUCAAGGAGGUCAGCGCCUUCAUUAGUUGACUUAGCAUAUCUGCUAGGAGGUUUCAAUAUCUUUCAUGCAGGCAAAUUCGAAUGCCAUGGAUUUCCCCCAGCCUGAGCUCUCAGAAUUCCCAGAUCUAGAAAAGCUGUUCAUUCUAAAGAAAAUGCUGCUUUUUAACACUGCUAUGUAUAUGACCACUGUUAACUGGAUUGACCUGAAGGAUCUCUUUCUGAACAUAGAAGUGACUCCCUAAAUUUGAAAUAUAAGCUUCAAAAGUUCUCUCUUUCAGGAGAAAAUAACAGCCCAAUAUUAUUUCCCACUCCCUCUUAUAUAUUUACCAGCCAGAAUUCUUCUUUACCUAUCACUGAAUAUCAUGGGCUUGCUUUACUUUCUCUCUAAACUUUUAACUUUAUUAUGAGCACAUAUAUCAUGAUCUUAUUUUUUCUUUUAUGGUUAGUUGGCUAAAUCCACUCGUUGAUUUUUUUUUUUCCUUAUAAGAUUGUAAAAACUGGAAUGCAAUUCUCUUAUAAAAACAGACUGUAGGCAGUUCCACUUCUCUGGUCAAUAUUUACUACUUGCUGAAAGAUACAUUAGAUCCCUGAAAGGGCAAGCUAUGACAGGAUCAUCAGUUCAAUUAACUGAAUACUACUUCAUUUUACCUCCACUGCAAAGAUAAGCAACACAGAAUGAAGUGAUAGCCAUUCAUCUUCCUUAUAACAAUAGGCAAAAUCCAUUUACUUAUAAAGAGAAUAAGUGAAAUAAAAUGCUUUUGUUCAAUAUAGUGUUUUUUUUUUUUAACUUUUGCUUUAGAGUAUUCUCCUGUUUGCCAAAUUUAAAAAUGCUGGAUGGAAUCUUGAAUCUACCAGAAGAUUGCUCAUCACCAGAAACCAAUAUUUUUUCAAAAAUAUGUGUUGUAUCCUAAUGUAGUCUGUAUAGAAAGAAAGCAAUCAUCACUGUCGCUAAAAGCUAAUAAAUAGGGGAAACGCAUGAUUAAAUAUUGCAAUUUAGUUUAUAUGUAUGUCUUUUUGCUUUCCUAAAUCAAGGCAGGAAAGUAUUUUCUAUAAAGGACCAGGUGGUAAAUACUUCAGGCUUUCUGGCCCGUGUGGCCUGUGUCGCAGCUACUCAACCCUGCCAUGCAGUGCAAAAGCAGCCACUGAUGAUAUGUAACUGUAUGGAUGUGUCUGUGUCUCAAUAAAACUUUAUUUACAAAAUGA
This 4677-nucleotide long non-coding RNA is filed under the name Aotus nancymaae (Ma's night monkey). RNAcentral describes it as "lncRNA (ENSANAG00000039015.1)". The record is from RNAcentral. Lineage: Eukaryota; Metazoa; Chordata; Mammalia; Primates; Aotidae.